CAUGGCUGAGUUGAGAAGGUUAUAAAGGAUUUUCGUUAAUCGGAUGUGGCUGAGGGAGUCGCAGAGAUCACUUGGUUAGUUGGGAUGUAUGUUUCUAGUCUAUAAGGAUGGUGGCAUUGGCAUUGGGAGCUUGGUCCAAGAAUUUCAUAAAAGGUUGUGGUGUUUCCCUCUGGAGCCAUUUUCUUCGUGGCAUAGAAGAGCAAAAUUGUGCUUCUAUGAAAUGGGUGGGAUUCUAGAGUUGGUUAUGGUAUCACUUAAAGAAGUCAUUGGGAGUCUAUUACUUAGGAUUAACACUAAUGGUGCCCUUCAAAUUCAGAGCACAAUAUUUUGUUCAAAAAUGCUAAUUUUGCGGGGUUAUUUGGCUGGAAUGGAACUAUAAGCACCACUUUGGACUGGCUCAAGUGGUUUGGGAUAGAAUGGUUUGUUUGUUUUCCUUUGGGCUAAGCUCACUGUUCUUUUUCAGGAUGCUUUCAUCUUCUCCGCAUAGGGUUUGGGUGUCUAUCCUGUUCUAAUGAUUCUGUUUAGUUCUAUUGUUUUUUGGUGUAUUUUUGGAGGAUUUAUUAUCCUCUUUUCUUUGUCCUUUUCUUUGAGAGGCUGGAUUUUCUUAUCCUCUAACUCUUUACUAACACCUUUUUUUAAUAAGAACAGGAGAUCCAUGUAAAGUUGAGGAAGACUAGGUAUCCUCCAGGUCUCUUGUCUUUAAUUGAAGCAAAUGGCAAAAAGAAGAGUGUAGCUGGGGUUUGAACAAGGGUUUCAUUGAGUCAUAUUUGCUCUCUCCUUGGUGUCCCAUCCUCCAGUUAAGACCAUACUUGAUCCUAAGCAAUGCCAAAAGCCUGCAGCUUAAGAAGAAAGGAUCAUUUGGGCACUAAGCCUAUAUUUUUGGGACAACAUAUUCAUGAUCUCUAAGCGCCCUUUUCCUCUUGCUCAUUUUGGGAAAGGAACAUGGAGUCUUCAGGAAUUAACGUAUUAUGUUCACUUCUCCCCUUUUUUCUUCAUUAUUUAAUGGGUUCUUGGCCACUUUGUGUUUGGUCUUGUUUUUCUUGGGAGGAUACCUUACCUUUUUGCCUUAUAUCUCUUCCUACAUUGAUAUAAUUUCUUUUCCUUAAAAGAAAAAAAAAACAUUUACUCACAUGGGACAUUUACUUAAACAUGCAUUUCCUGUACAUUCUUAGGAACUGGUUUGUGGACAUUUUUCUUAGUUGUAAUAAUCUGCUUCCAUCGCAUAAGAAAUAAAAUGAAAAAAUUGGCAUAUUGUGCCAGCAUCUCUUGCUCUCUCUAUAUGGUCUUUCUUUUCUCAAGUUCCAUUGUGAUUUUAUAUAUGAGCAUGCAUUUUCAUUUUUUAAUCUUUCUCAUACUGUUUAGCUCCACUGCCCUGCAAGUUUGUUCCAAUCUGUUGUUGGUAUGGUGCUCUCUACGGGUUUAUAUAACAUUCAACUGUUAGGUUUUUCACACAAGCUCUUGUUUUCCAAAGUUUGAUGCUCUUGCAGUUUAUUUGAAGCUCGAAAAGCUGGACAACUUUUGGAUAAUGGAAUAAAGUACAGUCCAGAUUGUGUAUGGCCUAUCAUGACAAAAGAUAAAAUUGGGAAUGAUAAACUUCCUGGGAACAUUUGGAGACCUAUAGAAGCAUCGGUUCAAAUUCCAUCAAACAUAUCUUGCAUAAAGUGUCCUGGAAAGCACACUCGUCCAACUGAUGAUUGUUCUGGCAUCCGCAAUGCAUUGAUAACUACACUCGGAUCAGGAAGCUCUGGUGGAUCUGUUUUCCUUUUCAAUCUUGAAGCCUUAGACUUUAACUCUGUUAUUUCAAUGAGACGAAGGUUGCAUAGGACUGCUUCUUUAAAUUGCACCGUUUGGACUGCAGAUUACAAUUUUAAUGCCAGUCAAGCAGUGAUUGGAACCAAUCUAGGGGCUGCCUUGGUGAAUUUGGAGACAGGAACAGCAUCAUGGGUGCUUCGUAGCAAAAGUGAUAUUUUGUCACAACAAUUUGACCAGUCAGGAAAUGUUGUUUUAUGUGGACUUAGAAAUGGAGCAAUUUUGACAAUUGAUACUCGUGUAAGGCAGGAAAGACUUCCUUCGCGAUUUAUUAAACAUCGAAUACCUGUUCAAGGUUCUAGUAAAAAGUGGUUUGAGCUGUAAAGAACUAUUUGAAGGAAAUUUUGGACAUUGCCUUGUCUAACUGAUUAGCUUUAUGAGCUCAAAGGAAACAUAAACCCCUCUGAUAUCAUUUUUAUGCCUUCAUCAAUUUCCUGGUUGGUGUGUCUUGAACAUGUUUUAGUACUAUUUUUGUUUUCAUUUGUAUCCUUCUUAUAACUUUGCUCUGCUCUACCUCAGUUUGGUGUCACUUCAACUCUAUGACCAGUACUUUUUAGCGAGCUCAAUGGAUGGUUCGGUUAGUAAUGCUUAUUCAUUCAAGUUUUUUUGGAUAUUCUUUUCCUAGUAACUAUGAUGAGUGGCAUUGGUACCCACUACUAACCGCUAUUGUUUUUGUCUAGUAAAUAUUUUUUCAUCAAAAUGUAAACUUGAAUCUGGUGCAAGCUAGUCUAUUAUCAAGGGUCAACUAGUAAUUUACUAUGACAAUAGUAAUGUGAAGAGAGCCAAAA
Non-coding RNA from Carica papaya (papaya), 2597 nucleotides. The record is from RefSeq and is a predicted model, not a curated record. NCBI's taxonomy places the organism in Eukaryota, Viridiplantae, Streptophyta, Magnoliopsida, Brassicales, Caricaceae.